Molecule: ribosomal RNA, 484 nt
Filed under: uncultured bacterium
Lineage: Bacteria
Description: bacterial SSU rRNA
Rfam family: Bacterial small subunit ribosomal RNA
Source: RNAcentral
AUUGAACGCUGGCGGCAUGCCUUACACAUGCAAGUCGAACGGUAACAGCACUUCGGUGGCUGACGAGUGGCGAACGGGUGAGUAAUACAUCGGAACGUGCCCGAGAGUGGGGGAUAACGCAGCGAAAGCUGUGCUAAUACCGCAUACGAUCUACGGAUGAAAGCAGGGGACCGCAAGGCCUUGCGCUCAUGGAGCGGCCGAUGGCAGAUUAGGUAGUUGGUGGGAUAAAAGCUUACCAAGCCGACGAUCUGUAGCUGGUCUGAGAGGACGACCAGCCACACUGGGACUGAGACACGGCCCAGACUCCUACGGGAGGCAGCAGUGGGGAAUAUUGCGCAAUGGGGGGAACCCUGACGCAGCGACGCCGCGUGAGCGACGAAGGCCUUCGGGUUGUAAAGCUCUUUUAUUAGGGACGAAAUCCCGCAUGCGAAUAGUGUGUGGGGAUGACGGUACCUAAUGAAUAAGCCCCGGCUAACUACGUGCC